Long non-coding RNA from Oreochromis aureus, 1806 nucleotides. The record is from Ensembl. Lineage: Eukaryota; Metazoa; Chordata; Actinopteri; Cichliformes; Cichlidae.
GAAAUAAAAGCGUUCUAACAUCUCACCUGCUUGUUUUUAUUAAGGUAUGUACACGUAUGUACAUGUACACUAUUUUUAUUAAUAGAGGUUUCACUACUGAGGUUAAAGAAACUCCAGCAGCUGUCUAUAGUAUUGAGUGUCCACUAGAAUAGAAAUAAAAGCGUUCUAACAUCUCACCUGCUUGUUUUUAUUAAGGUAUGUACACGUAUGUACAUGUACACUAUUUUUAUUAAUAGAGGUUUCACUACUGAGGUUAAAAAUGAUAUAUAAGUCACUUAGAUCACUUCUAAAUGUUAAUGUUUGGUUUAUUUCAGUGUUUUAUUUGUUCCUGAGUAAACCGGUUUGGCUGUGAUUAAAGUUAAGCUUCAUAACAUGUUACUCACAGUUAAAUUAGGAGGGGACGGCAGUAAAAACUCCGGACCUGUGACAUCAUCACGUACGCAGGUGUUCCAAUUGUACAUAUCGCGAGUCCGUGCUCGCGUUCUCGGCGGGUACGUACUCACCGAGAACGCGAGUACGUACUCGCAUACUUGGGCAUUGAUAAACGGCCACAUGUUUUGGUUCGUGCAACUGGUCCGUCGGGUUAUUGUCUCCCCAGAAACAUUUCCGUUGUGUCUUGUGUGCUUUUGCAGCGUUUUUCUUUUUGCAAGUGUUUUCUGAAGCUGCAGUCCGUUUGCCUCUCAGGGCCACCGUAGUAAAGCACUUUGAAUCACCUUGCUGUUGAAUUGUGCUAUAUAAAUAAACUUGCCUUACCUUUACACGGAUAUGAACAGAACUGUUCACCCUGCUGUCCGCUGAGCGGCGCUGCAGUCUGUGGGCGGAGCUACAAGCUGUGUUUCCGGUUCCGGCCUCCUGGUGUUUUGUUGUGUUGUUCGUCGUCCUGUGGCAGCAGUUUGAUUCUCCUCUCCCGCUCUUUGUCGCUCUUUACCCCCUCACAUGUUCCGUGCUCCGGACAAACAUCAGCGGAGUCCCGGAGCUCCACGGCCGGCUGGGAGGUUCUCUUCCCCGGCGUCCGGCUGGGGCUUCCCCCGUUCCCCAUACGGAGGCUCCCCGCGGGGCUACUCCCCCUACUCUCCGGGAUCUCCAAGCUACUCUCCGGGUUCUAAUCGAGGAUACAGAGACGGAUCUCCAGCCGGGUUCGGAAACGGUUCCCGGAGGUUCGGAGAUUCUCCGGCCGGGUUCAGCAGCGGCACGCAGGGGUUCGGGGGUCCGAUGCGGCGCAGAGGGGACGGUUUCCGGCGGCCUCAGUCCUUCAGUCCAACUUCAGCUCCGAACUUCAAGUCUUCAGAUGCGCCCGUGCAGAAGUACUUCAGCCCGUCUAUGGUGCAGGAUCCAUGGAAAAAUCUGCAGCCCGUCACCACCAUGGAUGCCGCUGCGGCCAGGCGGAUCACAUGACUGGAAAUAACACAAGUGGUGACCACAUGACAUCACCAGCAAUGAUCAAUAACUGUGAUGAGACGAACUGAAGUUUUUAGUCAGAUGUUUUAACCUUUUUAAAAAUUGUUUUUUAAACUGUUUGUGAAAAGAAGUUUUACGUUUUUAAAAUAUAAAAAGUUUAAAUUUUGCUUCAAAUCGUCAUUUGUUCUUUAAGCUCCCUUUUACUUUGAAAAGAAGAGGAAAAUGUGAUCCGCAUCGACUGUGCUCUGCACAGAAAUUUUACAUGUUGGAAUGUUUUCUCAGUGCUUACUUUUCAGUUCCCACAUUAGUGUGCAGAAAUACAAGCUGGUCGACAUGCUCGGCUGUCAGGACUAGGGCAGGGCAAUAUGGCCAAAAAUAUUUAUCACUAUAUAUAUUUGGAAAUUUGUG